UACGUAGGGUCCGAGCGUUGUCCGGAAUUAUUGGGCGUAAAGGGCUCGUAGGCGGUCCGUCACGUCGGGAGUGAAAACUCAGGGCUCAACCCUGAGCGUGCUUCCGAUACGGGCGGACUAGAGGUAUGCAGGGGAGAACGGAAUUCCUGGUGUAGCGGUGGAAUGCGCAGAUAUCAGGAGGAACACCGGUGGCGAAGGCGGUUCUCUGGGCAUUAACUGACGCUGAGGAGCGAAAGCAUGGGGAGCGAACGGG
Molecule: ribosomal RNA, 253 nt
Filed under: uncultured bacterium
Lineage: Bacteria
Description: partial 16S ribosomal RNA
Rfam family: Bacterial small subunit ribosomal RNA
Source: RNAcentral